GCUCAGUUGGUAGAGCAUGGUGUUUGCAACACCAGGGUUGUGGGUUCGAUUCCCAC
Molecule: non-coding RNA, 56 nt
Organism: Salmo salar (Atlantic salmon)
Lineage: Eukaryota; Metazoa; Chordata; Actinopteri; Salmoniformes; Salmonidae
Source: Rfam